This 435-nucleotide ribosomal RNA is filed under the name uncultured bacterium. RNAcentral's name for it is "partial 16S ribosomal RNA". It matches the Rfam family "Bacterial small subunit ribosomal RNA", at positions 29 to 507 of the family's 1533-position model. The record is from RNAcentral.
AGCGAACGCUGGCGGCAGGCUUAAUACAUGCAAGUCGAACGGGCAUCUUCGGAUGUUAGUGGCAGACGGGUGGGUAACACGUGGUAACGUACCCUUCGGUUCGGAAUAUCUCAGGGUAACUUGAGCUAAUACCGGAUACGCUCUUUCGGGGAAAGGUUUACUGCCGCAGGAUCGGAUCGAGUCUGAUUAGCUUGCUGGCGGGGUAACGGCCUUCCAAGGCGACGAUCCGUAGCUGGUCUGAGAGGCAGAGCAGACACACUGGUGCUUAGACACGGCCCGGACUCCUACGGGAUGCGCGAGAGCGUGAUAGUGCAACGUGGGCGCAGGCAUGAUCCACCCAUGCCGGGUGAGUGAUGAAGGCAUUGGGGAAGUAAUGCUCAAUUGUCCAUGAAGAUAAUGACGGUACCGGAACAAUAAGCCCCGGCUAACUACGUG